Molecule: RNA transcript, 2079 nt
Organism: Equus quagga
Lineage: Eukaryota; Metazoa; Chordata; Mammalia; Perissodactyla; Equidae
Gene: FAM78B
Gene name: family with sequence similarity 78 member B
Exons: 3
Source: RefSeq, a predicted model, not a curated record
ACUCCUCACAGCGCUGCUCCCCUCCCUGCCCUCCGCGCGGGCGCUGGAGCCGGCGGGGGCGCCCGCCGCCUCCUAGGAGCGCACGCUCCGCGCGCCCUGCCGGGGAGAGGGGGCGGGCGUGGGCGUGGGCGGGGGCGGGCGGGCGUCGGGGCAGCGGGGACCCCGAGCGGCGGCGAGAGGAGGGGGCUUCCCCGGAGGGUGCCCGGCGGCAGCGCCCGGCUCCUAGGCGUGAGCUGAGCCGGACCGGGAGCCGGCGGCGUGUCGCCAUGCCGGCGUGACGGGCGCCCCCGGCUGCCCGCGCGGGCCCCCGCGCUGCCCCACGCCGCGCCGCGCCGGCGCCGGGCGGCAGGAUGGGCUGUAUCCAAAGCAUCACCUGCAAGGCGCGGAUCCGGCGCGAGAACAUCGUGGUGUACGAUGUGUGCGCCACCAUCGACCAGUGCCCCACGCGCAUCGAGGAGACCUCGCCCAUCGUCCUGCGCUACAAGACCCCCUACUUCAAAGCCUCGGCCCGCGUGGUCAUGCCCCCCAUCCCCCGCCACGAGACCUGGGUGGUGGGCUGGAUCCAGGCGUGCAACCAGAUGGAGUUCUUCAACACCUACAGCGACCUGGGCAUGUCAAGCUGGGAGCUGCCUGACUUGAGGGAAGGGAGAGUAAAAGCCAUCAGUGACUCAGAUGGGGUGAGCUACCCUUGGUACGGGAACACCACAGAGACUGUGACCCUGGUUGGCCCCACCAACAAGAUCUCCAGGUUCUCCGUCAGCAUGAAUGACAACUUCUACCCAAGUGUGACGUGGGCAGUGCCAGUGAGUGACAGCAAUGUGCCAUUGCUCACAAGGAUCAAGAGGGACCAAAGUUUCACUACCUGGCUGGUGGCCAUGAACACCACCACAAAAGAGAAGAUCAUUCUGCAGACCAUCAAGUGGAGGAUGAGGGUGGACAUUGAGGUAGACCCUCUUCAGCUCUUGGGGCAACGGGCCCGGCUGGUGGGCAGGACUCAGCAGGAGCAGCCCCGGAUCCUGAGCCGGAUGGAACCCAUCCCCCCCAAUGCACUAGUGAAACCCAAUGCCAAUGAUGCCCAGGUCCUCAUGUGGAGGCCCAAGCGGGGGCCACCUCUGGUUGUUAUCCCUCCUAAGUAGAAACAGACUGGCCUGACUGUGUGUGGAGCACAUACCAGUGAGACACUUAGUGAGGUUGCCAGGGGUGGCAGGAGCCAAACUGAGUUUCUGAGCCAAAGCAGACCUCUUGGUUUGCCAGCCUAUGCAGCCACUUGUGAAGAGUAGGCCUGCUCCUUGGGCGGUAGAACCAUAUCCUUAGGAAAAGUUCUUCCUUUUAGGAAUAAAGAAAUCACUGAUUUGACAGACUUGCUGUGAUUACCAUGCAAGUAGCCAUAUUUUGGAGCUGACCAGGAUGAUUCUUUUAUCUGAACUAUUGACCAUUUCUUUCCUGUGAGAUGCAGGGGAUGGAAACGAAGUUAAACAGUGCCUGUGGCAAAUGCUGCUUCCCAACCAAUUAGAAGUUGGAGUGAAAACAUCCAUACCAGGUCAUCUAGUAGGACAAGGCACGCCCAGCAAGCAGAACCACAUGGCAGAGACUAAGAGGAGGAAAUGAGCAAUGGCUGUGGCUCCAGAAGCUGAAGCCCUGGACAGCUGAUUUCCCAUUAAAAUGAGUGCCAUCCUGCCUGUCUCCUCACCACCCUCCCAUCUCAUGACCCAUACCCCCUCCCAUCCCACCACGUGCCAUGCAGCACUCCCCAAGGGCUGGCUGGGCUGGCUGGUUGGCUCCUGAGGAGCUGUGUUGAAGUGGGAGUUGUGUCUGCUGUAUCUUUCUGUGUGAAAGAUUGGGUCCAUCCAGAUAUCAAGUUCAUCCCCAACCCUCUAACUGAAGCUGCCCAGGGAUGAAGAGCUGGUCAGCCUGGACUCCAGAUACCUAAAAUGACCCGGCCUUGGUUCCCAAACCCUGCCUUCCCUCCCUACACUUUUGGUUGGGAAACAGAAGGAUUAUGUAUCUUUCCUCUUUCUCCCUUCUCCACAUGGGUGGCUGAUGUUAACACUCUCUUAAGAUUUAUCUGAUCCUUAGAGA